Molecule: small RNA, 20 nt
Filed under: Arabidopsis thaliana (thale cress)
Lineage: Eukaryota; Viridiplantae; Streptophyta; Magnoliopsida; Brassicales; Brassicaceae
Description: ATSL071420
Source: RNAcentral
UUUUUUCAUUCUUCUUUUGA